GGCCGCGUGGCCUAAUGGCUAAGGCGCUAGAUUUCGGUUAACUUGAGCAAUCGUUCCCUCUAGAGAUUCCAGGUUCGACUCCUGGCGUGGUCG
Tolypocladium ophioglossoides CBS 100239 is the source of this 93-nucleotide transfer RNA. It matches the Rfam family "tRNA". From Rfam's summary of the family: Transfer RNA (tRNA) molecules are approximately 80 nucleotides in length. Lineage: Eukaryota; Fungi; Ascomycota; Sordariomycetes; Hypocreales; Ophiocordycipitaceae. The record is from Rfam.